RNAcentral lists this ribosomal RNA (519 nucleotides) under uncultured eukaryote. Its description in RNAcentral is "bacterial SSU rRNA". The stretch from base 15 to 435 matches the Rfam family "Eukaryotic small subunit ribosomal RNA", at positions 1175 to 1612 of the family's 1831-position model. The record is from RNAcentral.
AAGGGGCCAACCAGAGUGGAGCCUGGUUGCUUUUGGACAAAGCAGGACAAACCUCACCCCGACCGGACAUUAGGCGGAAUGACAAACUGACUAGCUCUUUCUUGAUUCAUUGGGUGGGGGGGCGUGGCCGCUCCCGUUGGUGGAGCGAUUUGUCUGGUUAAUUCCGAUAACGAACGAAACUCUAGCCUGCUAUUUAGGCGGCCCAGCCGCUGUGCUCCCCGCCAGCAAGUUUUUUAGAGGGAAAGACGGGUCGUUAGCCGUACGAAAUAGAGCAAUAACAGGUCUGUGAUGACCUUAAAUGUCCGGGGCCGGGGCGCGCUACACUGAAGGAAUCAGCACGCUUGCAAUCCCGCGCCCCUCAGGAGCGGGGGACCGUUAUCACUCCCUCCCCGAUAGGGAAUGAGUUUUGUAACUUUUGUUCAAAAACUAGGAAUUACCACUCGCCCUGAAGGUUAGUGUUCGGGCAUAGGUGUCGGGGCCCAAGUGGCACCGCCCGGACGACUUACAUUGGAAGGAAUG